This is a non-coding RNA of Oryza sativa Japonica Group (Japanese rice), 1298 nucleotides long. The record is from RefSeq and is a predicted model, not a curated record. Lineage: Eukaryota; Viridiplantae; Streptophyta; Magnoliopsida; Poales; Poaceae.
ACUUUAAGCAUAAUUUUUCGUUUUUUACAUUUGAAAAAAAAAUUUGAAUAAGACGAGCGGUCAAACGUUGUAAGCAAAAACUCAAAAUCCCUUAUAUUGUGGGACGGAGGGAGUAGUACUUAUGUACUAUGUGAGUUUUUGGAGAAUUUUGAGCAUCUUGAAAUAACCUCGAUAGUACCCAAAUCGUUUGGUUUGAAAAGAAGUGAUCGAACUGAGUGAAACAUGACCAGGUCUGUACCGUUAAAUUUCAAUUUCCUGUAACUCUCUGUCUCUAAAAUCCUGUAUAUACCUGAUGUUUGAAUCUCCUGAAAAUGUAGAUGAAGAUUCAGUGUUUCACGUAAAACGAGGUGGUGAUAACGUGUGAUUAAUUAAGUUUUAAUUAUUACAAACUUAAAAAAUAGAUUAAUCUAAUAUAUUAGAGCAACUUUCAUAUGAAAAGUUUUCGCACGAAACGCACCGUUUAACAGUUUAAAAAACGUGCCACGAGUAUACAAAAUUUCAUCCAAGCCUUGUUGGAGAAAAGAACAGGGCACGUUGAGACUGAAGCAAGUAAAUCAAAUUGCAUGCUGACCUUCGAAAGAUCUUCCUAAAGGUUUCCCUUUUUUGUGUGUGUGUGUGUGUGUGUUACCGAAUCCCCUACUUCUUUUUAAUUGGAGUGUCACUAACAACCUAAUGUUACUCCUUUACAGAUAAUGUCGAGCAUGUUAAUCAGAUCAACCUUGAGAUUGCUAGCUGGGUAGAAAGUGACUAUCAAAUACAGUUUUUCCCGUCGAACUAUUCAUCUUGGUUUUGCAUUCCUUGUUCCAGUUGACUAUCUGCAGCUUACUAUCAGCAAGUGAUAUCAUUAUUUGGUACCAUUACUUGUUGGUGAGAUAUAUAUGUUCGACAUAUAUGGUGUUGAGUUCACACACAAACCUUUGGUAAAUUGGUUCAAUGAAAAUGUUGUGAAGAAAGCUGUCCACCUGCAGGUUGGAUUCCUAGGGGGGUUGACUGUUGAGGAAUAAAGCAAUCCAAUGGAUAUUUCAAAGUAAAAUGGUCUAAUGAUAGUUACAGGUUCAGGAACCUUAUCAUCAGCAAUUGAGAUGGGCCUCAGAUGAGGAAGUAUGUCCCCUUCGUUCCAGUCACCAAACAUUAGCUAAAAAACGUGUCCCCUGCACUAAUCUAGCUGUUAUUUUGAUCAUAUGUCAUAAACUGUUCAAAAAAUAAGUCCACUGACUGUUGUCCCCAGUCUAUGCUGUUCCAUGAAAUCUGUAAUUUAAUCAAACGUUGAAGAACCGGAACAAUAACUCUUAUCUUAA